RNAcentral lists this ribosomal RNA (332 nucleotides) under uncultured eukaryote. RNAcentral's name for it is "partial 18S ribosomal RNA". It matches the Rfam family "Eukaryotic small subunit ribosomal RNA", at positions 1470 to 1796 of the family's 1831-position model. The record is from RNAcentral.
CCCUUAGAUGUUCUGGGCCGCACGCGCGCUACACUGAUGCAUUCAACGAGUUAUCUUUGUUCCUUGGCCGAGAGGCCUGGGCAAUCUUUGGAACUUGCAUCGUGAUAGGGAUAGAUUAUUGCAAUUAUUAAUCUUGAACGAGGAAUUCCUAGUAAACGCAGAUCAUCAAUCUGCAUUGAUUACGUCCCUGCCCUUUGUACACACCGCCCGUCGCACCUACCGAUUGAAUGGUCCGGUGAAGCCUCGGGAUUGUGGUUCUUGCCGCUUUAUUGUGGCGUGACCGCGAGAACUUGUCUAAACCUUAUCAUCUAGAGGAAGGUGAAGUCGUAACA